RNAcentral lists this long non-coding RNA (279 nucleotides) under Phoenix dactylifera (date palm). RNAcentral's name for it is "long non-coding RNA (PDAC_LNC004812)". Lineage: Eukaryota; Viridiplantae; Streptophyta; Magnoliopsida; Arecales; Arecaceae. The record is from RNAcentral.
AAUUUAUUAUGUUCUACAUUUAAGAGCUAUAUAUAUGUAUUACAUGACAAAUGAGGAAGCUUGUUCUCGCUCCCCCCACUUUCAAUUUGAGCUUUGUUGUAUGACAUUAGAGAAUAUGCAUCAGUCUAGUAUCUUAAAAUGGCUUGAUUCUAGCCUUUCAAUACCCUAUCAAAGAUUAAAAAUUUUGUUGAUUAAUUUGCAUACUCUUUAGCUUGGGCAAGGAUGAGCCUAAUUUGAGUUGAAUUUGGGCAACCUAAAUAAAAGAUGUCCAUAUUACUG